Molecule: ribosomal RNA, 2698 nt
Filed under: Triticum aestivum (bread wheat)
Lineage: Eukaryota; Viridiplantae; Streptophyta; Magnoliopsida; Poales; Poaceae
Description: partial small subunit ribosomal RNA
Source: RNAcentral
AUAUAAGCUUGCAGUCCAUGUGUUAAGUCUUUCCGUACACUGUGUUGUCUAACACAUGACUGCUACUGUUUAGAUUUGUUAACUGUUGUGUUCUGCAGCAAUUUUUUCUAGAUUAUCCUAGGAUUGCUCUUCAUUUAUUUCAUACUUGUAGUUGUAUGUUCUACCUUGGUAUCAUCAUAGUUUCAUUACUGGAGGACUUUUCAGAUCUCAACCGUGUUUGGUUCUGUAUGUUCUUCAGUUAUUAUGGGGAAUUAUCUAGCUGGUUGAACUUUCUUCCCAAAUAUAGAAGGAAUUCAGUUAUCAUAUGCUUUGCUGAACUCUGUGCAUCCGUCCAAUAACUUUAGUAUAUAUGCUUAAUUGUUAUAUAUGUUGGCUGCAUAAUCUUUUCAAGUAUCUGAAAAUGGAAUUCUCAACUCUGUUCACACACAUAUUAGUAUGUCACAGUUCACAAUUGGUACCGAAAACAGUAUUAUUAUGCUUUUCAAAUUUGUUGUGGGAAAUUGUUUUCUCUCACUUUGCUGCUUCGUUCACUUCAUGCUAUGUCUCAAUUAUGCUGGUUCCAGUAAAUUAGUUUUGCUUCAUUCCCUGUGUGCUGUAUUUAUGAUGUUUCCUGUAAAUUAGUUUUGCUGACUACUAUCUUUGAUCAAUGUAAUGUAAGUAAGUGUUUGUGACUGUCGUUUCUUAUUUAUACUAUAAUUUGGACCUUGCUGGCAAAGUUGGGGUAUUGAAAACUCAACUUGGGCUAGCAAUAAAAUAUAAAUAUCUACAACAUCUGCACUGAAUAUUUUACGAACUCUCUUAUUUCAUUUAGUUGAACAAUUGUUUCUAUUGGGGAACUGGGCCCAUGGAAGUUUUUUUUCCCAGGUCCCUCAUAUUUCUGUUGGUGUGUCUUUUUGGCUGUCUACAGGUGAACUAGUCUCAGCCGGGCUCUAUCAAGAUGUCUGAGAGCCAGGAAACUGAUAGGAACAUUGAAAUCUGGAAGAUUAAAAAGCUAAUCAAGGCACUGGAGUCUGCUAGAGGCAAUGGCACAAGCAUGAUCUCCCUUAUUAUGCCUCCACGUGAUCAGGUUUCUCGAGUGGCGAAGAUGUUAGGCGACGAGUAUGGUACUGCUUCAAACAUCAAGAGUAGAGUCAAUCGUCAAUCAGUUUUGGGUGCCAUCACCUCAGCUCAACAGAGGCUGAAGCUUUACAACAGAGUUCCUCCCAAUGGUUUGGUUCUCUACACUGGAACCAUUGUUACUGAUGAUGGAAAGGAAAAGAAAGUUACUAUUGAUUUUGAGCCAUUCAAGCCUAUAAAUGUCUCACUUUACCUUUGUGAUAACAAGUUCCACACUGAGGCUUUAAAUGAGUUGUUGGAAUCUGAUGACAAGUUUGGCUUCAUUGUUAUGGAUGGUAAUGGUACACUUUUUGGCACACUAAGUGGAAAUACACGUGAGGUGCUUCACAAAUUUACUGUUGAUCUCCCAAAGAAGCAUGGUAGAGGAGGGCAUUCGGCUCUACGUUUUGCUCGUCUUCGGAUGGAAAAACGUCAUAACUAUGUCCGAAAAACUGCUGAGCUUGCUACUCAGUUUUUUUAUCAAUCCAGCUACAAGUCAGCCUAACGUUUCUGGACUGAUUCUUGCUGGUUCUGCUGAUUUCAAGACAGAGCUGAGCCAAUCUGAUAUGUUUGACCAGAGACUUCAAGCCAAGAUACUUAAUGUGGUUGAUGUUUCUUAUGGCGGUGAGAAUGGUUUCAACCAAGCUGUUGAGUUGUCAGCUGAGAUUCUAGCAAAUGUGAAGUUCAUAUAGGAGAAGAAGUUAAUUGGCAAGUACUUUGAAGAGAUCAGUCAAGAUACUGGGAAAUAUGUCUUUGGUGUUGAUGACACUCUAAAGGCUCUUGAGAUGGGUGCUGUUGAGACUCUGAUAGUAUGGGAGAAUCUUGAUAUCAACAGAUAUUCGCUGAAGCACAGUGUCUCUGGGGAAGUCAUUGUCAAACAUUUGAACAAGGAGCAGGAAGCGGAUCAGAGCAAUUUCCGCGAUAGUGAGACCAAUGCCGAGUUGGAAGUUCAGGAAAAAAUAUCUUUGUUGGAGUGGUUUGCUAAUGAAUACAAGAAGUUCGGCUGCGCGCUCGAGUUCGUCACUAACAAGUCGCAAGAGGGAUCACAAUUCUGCAGAGGAUUCGGUGGCAUUGGUGGUCUGCUGCGCUAUCAGCUAGAUAUGCGGUCUUUUGACGAGGUCUCAGACGAUGAAGGUUUGUAUGAAGACUCUGAUUAGCAAUCAGCUAACCAAAUGAUUGUGCUGGCCCAUGGAAGGACGCCACAGCUCGGUUUCGCUCUACUUACGCAAGAACACUUCAAAGGCGGCUCUAUAUCCAGGGAUUGAUGGGCAUGGGCCAGCCUCGAACUAUGCCGAAGGAGUUCAUGACGAGAUGAUUGAGAUACCAUCAUCAUCAUGGAAAUAACAUGUCAAGACGUUAACCGGACUAAAAGCUCGUUAUGUUUAGUUGUCGCAUUGCGCUUCUAUAUAUUCAGUCGUUGUGUAGUGUCGGAUGUCUGUUAUUAUGCAUCUAGGGUUCCGAAGUCUAGUGCCUGCUUUUAAUAUUCAGCGUGGUGAAUGAACUCGUAUAAAUAUUGUGUAUUACUGUAGUAGUCUCUUACUCCUGCAGUUUUUGCAACGAAGACAUUGUUUUGCUAUAAAUAUUCCUCCUGUCUUGCUGUGUG